AGAGUUUGAUCCUGGCUCAGGACGAACGCUGGCGGCAGGCCUAAUACAUGCAAGCCGAACGGCAAGUUAGAUAGCAAUAUUUGACCUAGAGUGGCGUAAGGGUGCGUAACACGUAUGCAAUCUGCCCUGNUACAGGGGAAUAGCUCGGUGAAAACCGGAUUAAUGCCCCGNUAAUAUAAUUGAGAGGCAUCUCUUGNAUUAUUAAAGUUGAGGCGGUACAGGAUGAGCAUGCGCAUGAUUAGUUAGUUGGCGGGGUAACGGCCCACCAAGACGAUGAUCAUUAGGGGAACUGAGAGGUUGAUCCCCCACACUGGCACUGAGAUACGGGCCAGACUCCUACGGGAGGCAGCAGUAGGGAAUAUUGGACAAUGGGUGCAAGCCUGAUCCAGCCAUGCCGCGUGCAGGAAGAAGGCCUUCUGGGUUGUAAACUGCUUUUACUAGGGGAUAAAAAGCUCAUGCGUGAGAAAUUGAAGGUACCUGGUGAAUAAGCCACGGCUAACUACGUGCCAGCAGCCGCGGUAAUACGUAGGUGGCAAGCGUUGUCCGGAUUUAUUGGGUUUAAAGGGUGCGUAGGCGGUUCUAUAAGUCAGUGGUGAAAUCCGGCAGCUCAACUGUCGAUGUGCCAUUGAUACUGCAGAACUUGANNUACAGACGAGGUAUGCGGGAAUUGACGGUGUAGCGGUGAAAUGCUUA
Molecule: ribosomal RNA, 693 nt
Filed under: uncultured bacterium
Lineage: Bacteria
Description: bacterial SSU rRNA
Rfam family: Bacterial small subunit ribosomal RNA
Source: RNAcentral